RNAcentral lists this transfer RNA (70 nucleotides) under Megalamphodus sweglesi. Its description in RNAcentral is "Hyphessobrycon sweglesi tRNA-Pro". It matches the Rfam family "tRNA". Rfam says of the family: Transfer RNA (tRNA) molecules are approximately 80 nucleotides in length. Their secondary structure includes four short double-helical elements and three loops (D, anti-codon, and T loops). Further hydrogen bonds mediate the characteristic L-shaped molecular structure. tRNAs have two regions of fundamental functional importance: the anti-codon, which is responsible for specific mRNA codon recognition, and the 3' end, to which the tRNAs corresponding amino acid is attached (by aminoacyl-tRNA synthetases). tRNAs cope with the degeneracy of the genetic code in two manners: having more than one tRNA (with a specific anti-codon) for a particular amino acid; and 'wobble' base-pairing, i.e. permitting non-standard base-pairing at the 3rd anti-codon position. Lineage: Eukaryota; Metazoa; Chordata; Actinopteri; Characiformes; Acestrorhamphidae. The record is from RNAcentral.
CAGGAAAUAGUUUAAUUUAGAAUAUCUCCUUUGGGAGGAGGUGGUGGAAGUUAAAAUCUUCCUUUUCUGG